Molecule: ribosomal RNA, 207 nt
Filed under: uncultured bacterium
Lineage: Bacteria
Description: partial 16S ribosomal RNA
Rfam family: Bacterial small subunit ribosomal RNA
Source: RNAcentral
GGUGUAGGCGGAUCUCUAAGUCGGGGGUGAAAGCCCAGGGCUCAACCCUGGAAUUGCCUUCGAUACUGGAGAUCUCGAGUGCAGGAGAGGUGAGCGGAAUUCCGAGUGUAGAGGUGAAAUUCGUAGAUAUUCGGAGGAACACCAGAGGCGAAGGCGGCUCACUGGACUGUUACUGACGCUGAGACCCGAAAGCGUGGGGAGCGAACA